AUGCUCAUUUUGGCAGCAUGUAUGCUAAAACUGGAGUGACACCAAGAAGAUUAGUGCAGUUGCUGCACAAGAAUGACAUGCAGAUUCAUGAAAUAUCUCAUAUUUUU
Molecule: small nuclear RNA, 107 nt
Filed under: Chinchilla lanigera (long-tailed chinchilla)
Lineage: Eukaryota; Metazoa; Chordata; Mammalia; Rodentia; Chinchillidae
Source: RNAcentral